UAAAGUCUAACCUGCCCACUGAAAAUUUUUAAAUGGCCGCAGUAUUUUAACUGUGCAAAGGUAGCAUAAUCAUUAGUCUUUUAAUUGAAGGCUGGAAUGAAUGGUUGGACGAAAUAUUAACUGUUUCAUUUAAAUUUUUUAUAGAAUUUUAUUUUUUAGUCAAAAAGCUAAAAUUUAUUUAAAAGACGAGAAGACCCUAUAAAUCUUUAUAUUUUAUUUAUUUUAAUUAUAAAGAUUAUUUUUAUUAUAAUAAAUAAAAAUAUUUUAUUGGGGUGAUAUUAAAAUUUAAAAAACUUUUAAUGAAAAAAAUCAUUAAUGUAUGAAUAUUUGAUCCAUUAAUAAUGAUAAAAAAUUUAAGUUACUUUAGGGAUAACAGCGUAAUUUUUUUGGAGAGUUCAUAUCGAUAAAAAAGAUUGCGACCUCGAUGUUGGAUUAAGAUAUAAUUUUGGGUGUAGCCGUUCAAAUUUUAAGUCUGUUC
Molecule: ribosomal RNA, 478 nt
Filed under: Drosophila novamexicana
Lineage: Eukaryota; Metazoa; Arthropoda; Insecta; Diptera; Drosophilidae
Description: partial 16S ribosomal RNA
Rfam family: Bacterial large subunit ribosomal RNA
Source: RNAcentral